UAACACGGGGGUUGCGAGCGUUGUCCGGAAUUACUAGGCGUAAAGGGCAGGCAGGCGGACCUGCAAGUUUUCUGUUAAAGACGUCAGCUCAACUGGCGCACGGCAGGAGAUACUGCAGAUCUUGAAUGCGGUUGGGGAAGACAGAAUUCCUGGUGUAGCGGUGGAAUGCGCAGAGAUCAGGAGGAAUACCAAAGGCGAAGGCAGUCUUCCAAGCCGUUAUUGACGCUCAACUGCGAAGGUGUGGGUAUCAAACAGGAUUAGAUACCCUGGUAGUCCACACAGUAAACGAUGAUCACUAGGUGUCGGUUUCGUAAUAGGAUUCGGUGCCGUAGCUAACGCGUUA
This 343-nucleotide ribosomal RNA is filed under the name uncultured bacterium. Its description in RNAcentral is "bacterial SSU rRNA". It matches the Rfam family "Bacterial small subunit ribosomal RNA", at positions 521 to 862 of the family's 1533-position model. The record is from RNAcentral.